UACGUAGGGGGCGAGCGUUGUCCGGAUUUAUUGGGCGUAAAGGGCGUGUAGGCGGCUUCUUAAGUCUGGGGUGAAACUCCGGGGCUCAACCCCGGAACUGCCUCGGAUACUGGGGAGCUUGAGUGCUCUAGAGGGCAGUGGAAUUCCCGGUGUAGCAGUGAAAUGCGUAGAGAUCGGGAGGAACACCAGUGGCGAAGGCGACUGCCUGGGGAGUAACUGACGCUGAGGCGCGAAAGCUGGGGGAGCAAACGGGAUUAGAUACCCCGGUAGUCCCAGCCGUAAACGAUGAGUGCUAGGUGUAGCGGGUAUCGACCCCCGCUGUGCCGGAGUUAACGCAAUAAGCACUCCGCCUGGGGAGUACGGCCGCAAGGUUGAA
RNAcentral lists this ribosomal RNA (376 nucleotides) under uncultured bacterium. RNAcentral describes it as "bacterial SSU rRNA". It matches the Rfam family "Bacterial small subunit ribosomal RNA", at positions 524 to 898 of the family's 1533-position model. The record is from RNAcentral.